Molecule: long non-coding RNA, 1603 nt
Organism: Megalobrama amblycephala (Wuchang bream)
Lineage: Eukaryota; Metazoa; Chordata; Actinopteri; Cypriniformes; Xenocyprididae
Exons: 6
Source: RefSeq, a predicted model, not a curated record
UAUUAUGGGAAAUGCAGUUCAGACAGUGACAAAAGUCCAUGUUGGAGUGCCCUCUGGUGGCUAAACAGGGCACUCCAACUCAUGAUCAUGACAGUACCCCCUCCUUACGGAGUGGCUACCAGACGCUCCAUGACACAAAAACAAAAAAACACAACUCUCAGGAGGGAGGUGGACUGGAGUAGGACCAGGGGGAGGGUUGGCGGGCCAAGUCCGGGGUCCCGACCGAUACCAGGGCGGUGCUGGCGGAACUGACCAGGCGGGUUACAGAGGGUCUGGAGUCCUGGCUGAUUGCCAGGGCGGCACUGGAGGAACUGACCAGGCAGGUUCCCGAGGGUCUGGAGUCCUGGCAUCUGUCACGGGUGCACACAGAAACAAGAUGUUUGAGUGAUUGUGGUGUCACAGACAAAGAUUGUGCUGCUCUGACUUCAGUUCUGAGAUCAAACCCCUCAAACCUGAGAGAACUGGAUCUGUCUUGUAAAAAAAAAUAAGAUAUUCAGGUGUAAAGCUUCUCUCUACUGUACUGGAGCAUCCUCAAUGUAAACUGGACACACUGAGGUUGUGUGAUUGUGGCGUCACAGAUGAAGGUUGUGCUGCUCUGGUUUCAGCUCUGAGAUCAAACCCCUCACACCUGAGAGUACUGAAUCUGGAUCUGAAUAAAAUAGAAAAAUCAGUGUCUCUUCUCUCUGAUGUACUACAGGAUCCUCACUGUAAACUGGAAACACUGUGGUUGAGUGAUUGUGGAGUCACAGAUGAAGGUUGUGCUGCUCUGACUUCAGAUCAAACCCCUCACACCUGAGAUUACUGGAUUUAUCUGGGAAUAAAAUAGGAAAAUCAGUGAAUCUGCUGUCUGAUGUACUACAGGAUCCUCACUGUAAACUGGAGAAACUGUGGUUGAUGGAUUGUGGAGUCACAGAUGAAGGUUGUGCUGCUCUGACUUCAGCUCUGAGAUCAAACCCCUCACAUCUGGGAUAUCUGGAUCUGUCUAGGAAUAAUCUAGGACAAUCAGGAGUGAAGUUGCUCUCUGAUCUGAAGGAUGAUCCAAAUAAUAAACUGAAGGAACUAUACUAUUGACUCUCAGUAUUUAGACGUCAGUCCAGUUUCCUCAGGAUCAGUUGAUGGUGAAUAAGGAGCUACAGAGACUGAAGACACAGAGACACACAGCGAUCACACUGACAUGAGUGUGUGACUUCAGUUUCUCAUUUUAUAGUAAUGCUCAUGAAAAUGAGUGAUGAAAACAGCAAUUUUCAGUUCUCGCUUGACAUUGAUUACAAUGUAGAUGGUGUAACACUUAAUUUACACUGCAAACAAGUAAUGCAAAGUGACAAAACUGAAUCAGUCCUAUUUUCAUCAACAAGCCAUAGACAUACUGUAAAUAAGAUGACAUUUUUUCACCUUGAGUAAUUUUAAGAAGAGUUUUCCUUUGAGAAAAUCAAGAGUCUGACUAAGAAGAGAGAGAUGCUAUAAAUGUGUCUACCAGCAAAAAGCAACAUAUUAUGCAAAUCAUUUCACUGAACAUGUAUGUCUGUAAAAAAAAUUAAAAAAUAAAAUAAAAUUACCCACUCUUGUACAUGAUGAUCUAUUAAAGAUUCCAUAUAAAUCUUAA